GGUGUAAAUAGGUAAUGGGACAAGUACUGGUGUGAGACAUUGUGUAACCUAAAUAAUUAUAGGACCAGUAUUCAAAUUUAUUGUUAUUUACUUCAACUUCAAUAGUAUGAACUGCAUAUACGUGAUGAAUUAUGGCAAUAACGAUUAUAGGAACUGAGGAGGGGUGAAUUGGUUAAUUGGAAACGAUAAGUCGAGAGAUAAAGGAGAGAAAAGGAAAGGCAACCCUGUACGCGUUUCGACCUAACAGUCUUCUUCAGCAGGGUUUUUUAAGAGGGGUGCAGGUAGAAUUUGCAGAGGAGAAUGAAGGAGAGGUUAAGAGUUAGGAUAAGCAAUGGCACAGUAACAAAAAGGAAAGAUGGAAAGAUAGUGAGAAAUGCAAAACUACUACAUGUUAAAAGAAAAGUUAUCCUACCAAAUGUCUUGUUAUUGCGCGACAUUCCAACACCACGCACCUUGCUGUUCAUCUUUUGUUUAGUUUGAUGAAACAGAGUAAUAAUACAGUCCUUUCAAAUGUAGCUAACUCAAUAGUAUAGUGAGUAUGAAUGAUGUGAUGGUAGGGGUGGGGUAGGAUUUAUAUCA
This is a non-coding RNA of Paramuricea clavata, 579 nucleotides long. NCBI's taxonomy places the organism in Eukaryota, Metazoa, Cnidaria, Anthozoa, Malacalcyonacea, Plexauridae. The record is from the annotation of a GenBank genome assembly.